RNAcentral lists this ribosomal RNA (363 nucleotides) under Ehrlichia chaffeensis. RNAcentral describes it as "bacterial SSU rRNA". It matches the Rfam family "Bacterial small subunit ribosomal RNA", at positions 88 to 484 of the family's 1533-position model. Lineage: Bacteria; Pseudomonadati; Pseudomonadota; Alphaproteobacteria; Rickettsiales; Anaplasmataceae. The record is from RNAcentral.
GUUGUUAGUGGCAGACGGGUGAAGUUAAUGCGUAGGAAUCUACCUAGUAGUAUGGAAUAGCCAUUAGAAAUGAUGGGUAAUACUGUAUAAUCCCUGCGGGGGAAAGAUUUAUCGCUAUUAGAUGAGCCUACGUUAGAUUAGCUAGUUGGUAAGGUAAUGGCUUACCAAGGCUAUGAUCUAUAGCUGGUCUGAGAGGACGAUCAGCCACACUGGAACUGAGAUACGGUCCAGACUCCUACGGGAGGCAGCAGUGGGGAAUAUUGGACAAUGGGCGAAAGCCUGAUCCAGCUAUGCCGCGUGAGUGAAGAAGGCCUUCGGGUUGUAAAACUCUUUCAAUAGGGAAGAUAAUGACGGUACCUAUAA